GCGGACCCCCUACCCGCAGCUCACGCCCACCCCACCCCCGGCCGGCCGCCUCCGCACCUGCCUCCGCAGGUUCGGGCGCUCCCUCUCCUCCCAGUCCCGGCCGUGCCCUCCACCCAGGGUGCCCUUCCCAGGGCGGCGAAGUUGCGGCGCUCUGGGCGGCCGCGCGUCCACCCACCCCGCGGCUUGCGCACCGAGGUUCGGGUUUGGACGUCAUUCCUCUGCGUCUUGCGAGCACCCCACGGAAAAGGGCGAGAAGCCACCACCCUGGCUAGCAGCCUGCACAGCCACAACCGUCCAGAAAUUCGGGAAAGGCUGCUUGCGCCUGGACGCACAGCGUUUCGGGUGCUUCCAGAAAGUCGCAGAGCCCAAGGCUACCAGGCGAGAGGGAGGAGCCUACCCGGCGCACUCCAAGCGCCUUGAAUCCCCACGGUUCUCGGCGAUAAAUCCGUGCUUUCGUUUAGUUUUCACGCGUAAUAAGGCUAUACCGUAGGACUUGCAGGUUUUGUAGCUGGACAGAAGUUGUUCUCCCUGCAGGCAAGUUCCUGGGCUUUGCUCCAAUGCUGCCCCGGGAUGUUUUGGUUGGUUUGGAGGAAAGCUGUGGAGUCUGCACCGUUUGUUCCAAAUAGGCGGCCCCCUGGUGGCUAACUGUGGGUGAAAAAUCAGGCCACCGAGGAGAAAGCUUGGCUUUGACAGGCCACUACAGUUGACAGCCCGAUCUGCGCAGGGGCCACGGAGCUAGGUGGACAACUUUGUAUCGCUGGAGGGGGGGUAGGAGGGUGGAUGGGAGGGCCAUAUGCGAGUCUUCCUUUACAGGUGGAGAAUAGGCCCUGAGGCCUGAUGGAACUUUGAAUUUUUUUUUCUCUUCCUGAGUGUAACUUGGAGCUAAAUUCCUUCUUGAGAAGGAAACAUCAUACGGAGAAUGAAGUAUAACAAACACCGUUGCUUCCCUUAGUUCAAAUGGCUUUGUUUUUCUGAUCUCAUGUGGCCUGGAAACUGCUGAAAUAAAAACUAAAUUACAACAGUAAAUAAAUAACGUGGC
Molecule: long non-coding RNA, 1039 nt
Filed under: Suricata suricatta (meerkat)
Lineage: Eukaryota; Metazoa; Chordata; Mammalia; Carnivora; Herpestidae
Description: lncRNA (ENSSSUG00005002660.1)
Source: RNAcentral